GCUGGGCGUGAUGGCACAUGCCUGUAAUUCCAGCAACGUGGGAGGCUGAGGUAGGAGGCUCACAAGUUCAAGGCCAGCCUCAGCUACUUGGUGAGGCCCUAAGCAACUUAGUGAGACUCUGUCUCAA
Molecule: small RNA, 127 nt
Filed under: Marmota monax (woodchuck)
Lineage: Eukaryota; Metazoa; Chordata; Mammalia; Rodentia; Sciuridae
Source: RNAcentral